GACGAACGCUGGCGGCGUGCUUAACACAUGCAAGUCGAACGGAAAGGCCCUGCUUUUGGGGGGUGCUCGAGUGGCGAACGGGUGAGUAACACGUGAGUAACCUGCCCUGGACUGUGGGAUAACUUCAUGAAACUUGGGCUAAUACCGGAUAGGAGCUCCUGCUGCAUGGUGGGGGUUGGAAAGUUUCGGCGGUUGGGGAGGGACUCGCGGCCUAUCAGCUUGUUGGUGGGGUAGUGGAUUACCAAGGCUUUGACGGGUAGCGGGGCUGAGAGGGUGACCGGCCAAAUUGGGACUGGGCUGCGGCCCAGCCUCCUCCGGGACGCAGCAGUGGGGAAUAUUGUACUAUGGGAGGAAGCCUAACGUAGUAAAGCCGCGUGGGGGAUGACGGCAUUCGGGUUGUAAACCGAUUUCGCCUGUGACGAAGCGUGAGUGACGGUAAUGGGUAAAGAAGCACCGGCUAACUACGUG
Molecule: ribosomal RNA, 468 nt
Filed under: uncultured bacterium
Lineage: Bacteria
Description: partial 16S ribosomal RNA
Rfam family: Bacterial small subunit ribosomal RNA
Source: RNAcentral